This 90-nucleotide microRNA precursor is filed under the name Dasypus novemcinctus (nine-banded armadillo). RNAcentral's name for it is "miRNA (ENSDNOG00000027534.1)". The record is from RNAcentral. Lineage: Eukaryota; Metazoa; Chordata; Mammalia; Cingulata; Dasypodidae.
GGCAGCAUUCAGCCCCUCACCCCCUCAGGUUCCUUGGGAAAGCAGGAGGAGGAGGGAGAGCCUGGGCUUGUCUCUGCUGGGGUUUCUCCU